ACGCGAAAUUGAUCGUGGAGUCGGGGCAUACAGCACUCGACGGCUGUCCUGUCCUUCUCAAAUACAGGUGAGUGCUAGUUAUGAUCUAGUAGCUGGGUCUUGACCAUCGACGCGACGCUAGGCGUCUUCUAGACGUCUUUUUUAGACGCGCGCGUUUUUUCGACGACGCCCGACAGCCAAGGCGUGAAUCAGGUUUUGGCGACAUCAAAUGGAACUUUAGGACCAAGUUUCGGAUGUAAUCAAAAUUGCAACAUGAGACAUCGGCAGAGACGCUUCGAUUUCGGAAAACUUUCAACCUUCCAGGCAAAAACACAUCAGUCAACACGUAGCACAAAAACAUGUUUCUUUGGCAAAGCCGUCAUAGGAAGAAGAUGAAACUUCAUCGUCUUUGAAACUACUUUCAUCGGACUGCUCAGAGAUUGGAAGAUGUCAAAAGUUCAUCAAUGCUGCAUCUAAUCUGGAUAUCUCUAUUCUGUUUUGGAACUUCAACCUUUCAUGGAACCAUAGUUUUCUAAUCAUCUAUAAUAUUCUAUUUGGAUGAGACGCCCCGCGAAGGAAAUAAAAAGGAUACGAAAUCUACUCCACAACUACUACUGGUACCUCUAUAUGGGUCUUCAAGGUACUAAAGGAUCUUUUCUUAGAUAAAGGCAAACAGGUUUAUUCUAUAGUAAAUAUGAGUAUUAUGUUAGAUUGGUAUGUCUCCAUGAAAUAGGCACGAUGAAUAACAGAGUUCUACAUAUUUCAGAUAAUAAAACAAUAAUCACUAAAUUCAAAUCAAUUUGGAACAUUCAAUAGAUUCUAUCUUCUAUUUGGGUAAAUUCAAUGGGAAUUGCGGUCAAUAGUAGCCUACACACUUGCUAUUCUGGAACAUUGGCACACGAAAUUGUAUUACUAAUGACUAGAAGUCUAGUAGUUUUGAAGAAUGUAAUUUUGACUUCAAAAAACAAUAAGCUUCAGGAAUCUGUAAGCUAAGAUUCGCGAGUUCUUCCAAAUUUAUUAUGAAGAUAAAAUAUAUUUACGAUCUACAACUGUUAAAUUCAUUUGAAUUCAAUGUGAUAUAAUUGCAACUACAACAAACUAAAUCUUGAAUUAUUAACAUGAUUUACCUGAUUCUGAUAGAAGCAAAUUUCAAACCAAUUCAACAAGAAAAUUAUUUUAUCUGAUAGACCAAUACUAUAUUUAGUCAAUGAUCAAUCCAAAAUGUUAUUUGCUUCCCAUGUCCCCUCGUAUCAUGAAAAACAGUAUGGAAAUUCAAACCAGGGCUAGAUGUACAACUAUCAAAAACACAAGCAUACUUUGUAAUAGUCAAUAUGACAAGAUUCUGUGUACGUACAGUAGAGAAUUUGAAAGAAUAGCCCCGAUUCAAUCAAUCAAUUCAAAUUUUAUUUGGUUUUGUGAAUGCUCUCUGAAUGGAGAAUUUCCCCUUCGUUGAUAUAUGAAAAAAAUACAAUAUACAGAAAUGUUUUUUGUCAUUUGGCUUCCAAAUUUCAUACUACGCGUAGUUGAUAAGUUUAAGCAGAUAAGAUUUCAGCUACUCAAUUACCCAAUCUCAUUUUUGAUUACAAUUAUAAUAUCAUCAUCAAAUUUCCAAGGAAUACUUCUAUCAUCUGUAACUGUCAAAUAUUUUUAUUAUAUGCUUUUUUAUUUAGAGUUUAAUACGGAAUGGUCAAUCAGAGAGAGAUGUUCAGUGUAUAAAGUAUAAAUCAAAGGAGAGCUCAUCAUAGGUAUUCGGUGUAUUUUACGGGUAUUAUUUUCCCAAAUUAUCACAAUUGGAAUCUCCUGUAUUUCUUAAUCCAUAGAAAAUAUUGAUAACCAGAUUUUAGUGCAAGUUGAAGAAGAAUGAGUAAUAAUAAUCGGUCAUAAGUGAUGAAUGUUUUACUUAAGUAAUGUAAUGGGAAAUUGAUUAUUCAUCAAGCAAGUCCUAUCCACUGACAAAUUUCGAACCUCUUGAUCGUUAAUACCAUUUGGAAAAUAUCACGGGAAAUAUCGUAGAAUUGGUCAUUGAAUCGAAAGGAAGAAUAGCGGAACAAAUCAAUAUAUAGAACAAUAUAUCAAUAAUGAGUCUUCACGAUGUAUACAUAUUCUCGAAUAAGCAGUGUCAAUUGGGUAGACUCACUCACAAAAUUAACCACUAAAUCAAUGAUAAACGGAAAAUUGGCAAACAAGAAAAUUCCAAAUUCAUACAAUAAUGAGAAAUCAGAAGAAAGUUAUUUUUUAGGCUCGAAUUGCAAUGAUCCAGGUUAAUUUCAGGCCAACUAUCAAUGGGAAUAUUCAACACAAAUAAUUUUGAAAAUCUACACCAAAAUCAAAAAAGAAUCAAUAUUGCUCCAAACAUGCUACACAUUCAGUUCGAAGAAAAUAUCAAUAGGCAGAAUUUCAUGAUCCCGGACAAAAUAAUUUUUCCAUAAAGACCUGUCAAAAAAUAAGUUUCGAUUCCAAAUCCAAAUGCAAAUUUAUGAGAAAUACUGAGAGAAUUCUAGACACCAUUCAGCACAAUAUAUUUGAUCCACUGCAAAAACUGUUAUUGAUAAUUACACAAUAAGACUUUUCAGCAUUCCAGAGUUUUCAAGGAAUCAGUAAUACAAAAUCUCGGAAAUCGGUCCAAGCUUUUAGAAAAUCAAUCAAAAAUUGACACUUAGAAACAUCCCCAAUUUCGAAGAAUUUUGAAUUUAGAAAGAAAGUACGUUAUAUUUCAUUUGUAUCCAUUAUUCUCUGAGUAAAUUUUAGCAAUUGAGAUUAAUUAAUAUUUUCUGGCAAUACAAACAACCAUACCGUGCUGUCAAUUAUUCUAAUAUGUAUUAUCUCACUCCACUAUUCAGAAAUAUAGACUAUAUAGCUUGACAAACUGAAACUGAAAAAAUCAUUAACAUUUCGAAAGCAUACGUAUUCAAAAGCAGUAUUUUAUACAUAAUCGUUUCAUUCAGGUUACUUUUGUUCUUUAAUAAUUCCCAGACAUUUCUAAUUAAGAAUCUAAAACACUGUAAUUUACUGUAUGCUUAUCGAAAUAACUGGAAACUCAAUAUUGGAAAUGACGCUAAAAUAUCAAAAUAGGAAUGAGAAUCGCUUGGAAAAGCUUUUUAAAACAAAUUCGAUCGUUAAUUCGUUGAGAAAAGCCAUCUUUUGAACAUCUUCAGGUACACAGCUGACACAAACAAUUCAAAUUAGUGAAAUACUACACUCCAAUUCCUAAAACACGAAUAAAAUUGCUAAAGAAUAUCAAUAUCUAUUUUUAAACUUUCGAGCUAUCAACUGAAUAAAUAAAAUACAAUUUUGGCAAAAAACAAUUUAGUCAUUUACCAAAUUCAGCGGUAUUCAGCAGUAGAAAAUUAUUUUUGUAUUUGUGCUAGCCAAAACAAUAAUGCGAAAAGAAAAAUAAGCUAUUCUAGAAAAGGCGAUUCUGUUGAACUUUCGAGAAAAGUUUUGGAUAUAUUAUUAUAGGAGAAGUUGAACUAAAUUCUUCCAGAUAUUGACUUUUUAUAUGAUAAUUUCCAAAAUGCAGUAGGCUUCGGAAAAAACAAUAAUAUUUUGACUCCCAAAAGUAUCAGCUACAUUGAGCAAUAUGACAAUUCCUGAGUACCCAUUCCGGUAGCUGUCAAAAUCAAGUUCAUUUUAUAUAAAAGGGCAGUUUUGGCAUGAUUUCAAUCAUCAUUUAGCAGUGACUUCCAAAAUCAGUGAGCUUGACUUCCAAAAAAACAUGAAACGACACAGAAAUUCGUAAUCUAUUUUUUUAAUCAAGUUUUUACAGUCUAUUCCAUCUAUUUAAAUGAAUUUGACAGUCAUCCACUUCUUGAGGACUGGUAUCUGAAUAUUGAUUUUCCAACUCAAAAUAAAUUUCUGGAAUCCAAUCACCAUUUGGCAUUGACGUCUAAACAAUUAACAAUUGACAAUCAUAUUAACGUGAAACAAAAUCAAAUUGAUUCAUAUUUAUAAAAUUUGACUGAAUCAUUCUCAUUUCAAGGUAACUGGUAGUGAAGUAUUCAAAACAAAAUACAGUUCUGGCAAGCAUUUAUUUUAUCAUCAAGUGACUUUCAAAAACAGUGAUGCUGACUAUCGACCAAACCAUGAAAUACAUUCAAAUUCAAAUUCUACUCUCAACAAUAUAUGAUUGUAAAUAAUAGAAUAGAAUUCUCAAUUGGAAUUGUUUUGGAAUUGGGAAAUCAAAAACAGUUUUCGCUUGAAUUUUAUCAUUUGGACAUUCAAAAAUAGUGAACUUGGUCAUCAGCAUAUUUAGAAACAACAUUCAAAUCCAAUUUCUACCAAUACAUUUUCUAGUGACUAAUUUUCACUUCAAUGUGACUACAAAUUACGUUUGGAAAGUACCUACAGUUUCAAAAUUAAUUGUUAUAUUCAGCAAAAGCUCCCACUGUCUCUAACUCUCAAUGAUGUAAGAACAAAACAACAAUCUCAAAAUAACUGGAACAACAUUCUAGUCUCAUUCAUAUUAAUAAAAUUGACAGAAAUAUACUGUAUAAAAGUUAUCUAAAAAAUCUAGUUCGAAUCAAAUCUGGUAUAAUAUUAUUCUGUCGUCCAUUCUAAAACAAGAUCAAAACAUAGCAAACUUUAUCAACCAAAAUUCUUGAAACACUGAUAAAAUAGAAAACUCAUAAUAAUAUUUGGGUUACUUCUAAAAAGGGCUUCCAGGCGUUCUACUUUGGAUAUCAAAGUUUGACUUUAUCUAGAUUUGAACGACUAGAAAAACGCAGAGCACUCUUGGCAAAUUAAAAUGUCUGCUUCUUAGUUUCUCUAUUUUAGCUUCAAGAGAGAAAGCAACGAAAAUUAAUAAAUACAAAAAUUCCAGUGCCAGUUCAAACCUCAAAAGUAUCAUUGAGUACAUUUUGACCGAUUUAGGCACAGAAAUAGUUUCAAAAAUCAAAGAAGGCUUCACUAGAUAAUUUUCAAAAUUCGAAAAAUUCGUUAGAAGAGCUUUAAGAUUCACUGGUCACCAGCUGAUUAAUUUUGGCUCCUCUCACUCACCUCCUCCUUAUAUUAUCCAGCCUGAUCAAAUUAUAGAAGAGAAAACUUGGAACAAAAAUUUAAAGAAUAGUAUCCACAAAAAAAUAUCAGUAUUCCUAAAAUCCUUGAGUUCUGACACAAGCUGAAACAUCUCCAGAUUUUAAUGGCAUUACCAGUUUUACAUCACAAUUAAUCCAAUGUCUUUCAAAAUCAAUCAGUCUCUGCUUACCAUUACCCUUGGCUCCCACCGAACCCAAAUUCACUAAACCAAUUUGUAGAAGUUUUAGAUAAAAUUUAAAAAUUCAUGAAAAACAGUGCGCCUCAGUAACUCAGCUCAAGCAGAUAGAAAAUGGAAAAGCAAAAUUCAUUGAUUUAACAAUAAUUAGUUUUGUGAUAUCGCCGAAGUAUGAUACGAUCAAACAGUAAUAUUCCUUGACUUUUCAAAUUGAAAUGGAAUCUAUACAAUUUCAUAUCACAUAGACAGCGCACAAGUGAUUUACAGUCUCAUUUACUACUGGAUCGUAUUUCCUAGAAUAUGUUUGGUCAAUUUAGGCCAUUUCAACCAAAUUGCUGAAAACAUGACGGGGUCAUUAAAAUUAAUAUUUUGGCUCUAGUGAUGUAAAGCGAAGAAAUUUUCUCAAAAAACUGUAGUGAUAUCUUCAAAAGACUAUGAAGUUUCUCACAAAAGUGAAUUUUCAUUUACAUCACCCUAUUAGCUUUGAUUCAUUGAUAUUCAAGAUCUAAAAUAAAGUCCUAUUCAAAAAAAAGUUCAUACGGCAAAAAUAAAUUCCGAAAAAUGUUUCAGGUUCCAAACCCUGAUUUUGGGAAACAAAACUCAACCCAUCAUGAUCGAUACAAAUUCUUCAUACUCUAGGACUUUCAGGAAAGUCCUGGAUUCUAAUUCCGGACUUCAAAUUCUUGAUAAACUAUCCCUUUCAUUCUCCGGUUAUAACAAAUCAAAUCAGAAUUGAAGAGAAUACUGAAGGUAAUUACUUCAAUUCGAUUAUCAACGCAACAAGUGUGGAUAUCAAAAUUAAUAAGCGGUAUUAUUUGAAAAAGCGAAUAACACUACAAUUCUUAUACUCAUUUUCAUCAACACAAGAAAUAAUUCAUGAUCAUUGGAUACGAUAUUUGAAACGGAAACUUUAAGAAUUCAGACCACGUUUGGAAACUACUUUAGAUAAAUUUUGUCAACCACAUCCUAAAACAAUGCAGAAAUUGUCCAAAAAUUCAUCCAUCAAAAUUCAAAGAAUGUUAUUCGUUGUGUAGUAGGAGCUCCGUCCAUCAAAAUUAGAAAAUAUUGCUAGUCUAGUUCUCAUAAUAACUCAUUCAUUUUCUACUAAUUGUGAAGAGUAAAAGAAAUUGAGACCUUUAUUUGGCGAUACAUGAUAUUAUUCCAGUAAUCAAUUAUUUAAAAAUUCAAAAAAACUCUUCGAGGUCUACAUUCACGAAUCAAAAAUUGUUUGACAAUUUUUUAAAAUCAAUUCUUAUUUCUGGCAGAAUAUAAUAGGCCUAUAAACAAAUCAGCUCUUACGCAAGUAUUGCAAUUUUGGACGUCUUCGGUGGAAAAAUAUAAAUUAAUUCAUCUCCAAAAAUCACAUGAAAGCAGUUUUUUAGUUUUUGAAAAACCAAUUCAUGUUUUCAUAAACUAAUUUCGUGGGAAUCAAGUGAAUCUGUAUUUUUAAGCAAAGACAAGUAGUAUGUAGGUCUAUUCUAUUCUUCUGGCUAAUCUUAUCAUAUUUUCAAUGAGCCAAACUAUCCAAAAUUCACGUUUAUGACUAAUAUUCUGACUCUAAGGCCUCGCAAUACAAGUAUUAUAAAUUCUCAUUUCGAAGGUAAACUCAAAAAAUGACAUUAAAAAAAAAUAAAAAAUAAGCCUGUAGAAUGAUCAUUCUACACAAAAAAAGAUACAAAAAGGAAAUUCGCAUCACUUAUGUUGGAUGAAAUUUCCAAAAAUUAUAGUUCCGUAACAAUCAGACUUUGAUCAAUCUUCCCUGCAACUUCACGCUAAUUUUUUAUCUCCAUCCACAUGAAUCAUUUAAAAACAUCCAAGCCUCAUCCACACUACAAGCUGAAUUGGUUGUAGUUGGUUGAAAUCUAUCUUGGCUGAAAACAAAUAAAUCAAAACAUAUUUCAAAAAUUAGGGAAACGAGACCAUUACCAAUUCUAACAGCACCCAUGAAAACUAAAAGAAAUGUUGUUAUUGAAAAGCAUUUGGAAACUUGUAUCAUUCGAUAAAACAAUAUUGGACUUGUGGACAUUUUUGGACUGAGUUGUUUGACUCAACAUAUCGAUUCACAAUGAAAUCUAAAAGAGCCAGCCAAUCGCAUCAAAGUAUUUCAUCAGUUAACAAUAAUAGUCUAUACUUCCUGAUAACUUAUAUCAAUAUUUGAAAUAUUACCAUUCAAUAGAGGAGAAAUUCAUGUUUUAGAAAUUAUAGAAAUUUUCCAUUAAAAGAGAUAAAUUCACAAAACAGAAUAGAAUAAUUACCCAAUUCAAUCCAAGAAACUUCAGGAAAAAUUGAAUCCACUCUUGGAAUUUGUUCGCUGCAAAUUUUCAAGAAGUGAAAAGAGAAAAUUAUCAAAUUUUAUACGGCUUUAAAAAUCGAAGAAGGCAUUUAUCCCAUCCUUAACAACCAACUAUCUGUUAGAGAUUUGUUAUUAGAAUCAAAAAUUCGGUUUUCAUUUGUGGUAAUUCUUCUUGAAAAUAAUGGCCAAAACACGCAAAAUUGUGGAAAUACACAAUAAAAAGUAUUGAUACAGAGAAAAUUAAAAAAAAAAAACAAUGAUAAAUGUUGAUCACUCUCAAAAUUCCACCUUUUGUAUCUUUCUCGUAUAAGCAGUCAAAGUUUAAAAGUGUUGAUGGUAUAUCAAUACAACAAAAAUUCAAUUUCGAUAAUGAAAAAAAUUCAAUCAAAAGAAUUUUAAACAACAUAUUCAAAAUCCCAACAUCAUUUCCCCUCUGUAUUGAAUUCAUUCGACAAUCCUGUUGUGAGCUUGUGGAGUUACUUAACAAGGUUUGGCACCAUCUUAAGAUUGAAUUGGAGGAACGAAACACGACCCGAUUCGUCGGCGAAGAAAAUGCUGAAUAGCGAGGGAGUUGCAAAGGGUGGUAAGGUGUCUUGGAAAUAAAUGCAAAAUGAUAUAUAGUGGAUUUGGAUUAAUGGUUGAAGGAAGUCAUGCAUAAUAGAGGAAGCGAGAGCGUAGGCUGACUUCAGACGAAUGUGUUUUUGUCGAAGAAGGAAGGAGGCGUGCUGGUGAGAAAUGAUGAUAAAAGACGUCGGUGAAGGAGAAGGUGAAGGAAACGGAGAAGGACAGUCGGCUGAGUGAGAGAGCGCGAAAGUGUAAUUGCCUUUCAAAGUCAUUUAUUAAAACCCGGCCCGGGCGCAGAGCCGGGAAAAGCAAUUUUCUUCACAUGACGCCCCUCCUACGCUGCAGCACCGUGGUACAACGAUCCGCGAGCCCCCCUGUACCCCCCAGCACCAUCGCUACUUCAAUCUUUUGACUAAUGGUUCUAGGGAAGAAACUUCAGCGCCCGCUCCAGUUCGCUUUUGGAUCCGCGUGUAAUUUAUGGCUGGAAUAAUUUCUUCCCCAGCUUUGUCUGUGUUGAAAUAAUUAUUGACGAGAUGUGUAACUUCUUUAAUGACUUUGACUGCGACUCUGUGACACAAAGGGAUCCGUCGGCGGAGACGAAUUCCAAGUUUCGACAUGCCUAAUGACACCAACUACCCCCCCCCCCCACAACCAUCCACCAAAACCCCUGAAGGCAGACUCACACCAACCUAGUAUUACUCUCACGACACAAAAACUAUAUCACCUUCAUUCAACAGCUGAGAGCAGUGUGCAACUCUUGUAAUUUCGACUGUCAGCGCUGCUGCUGCUGCUAUCGUCGUCAAAUCUCAAAAUCGAAACUCUCUUCUCGCUUAUAAUUCGAAAGCAAUCUAAAACUUGUCGUAUCUCACCAAGAAGACACAUUUGGCACAAUAUAGCACAAACUUCAGCAUCUUCUUGAGUGAUAAGUCGUUUCCGUCUUGGAGAUAAGUUAUUCAGAUUUGUAAAACAGAAUGCCAUCCUAUGAUCAAUUUUGUAAAUCGAAAUUCCAUGUCAUAAUUAAAUCUGUUUGUAGAGAAAUUACAUUUUAUAAUCACAUUUAUGAAGUAAAAUUCUAUCAAUAGCAUUAGUGAAACAAAAUCCCAAUCCGCAAUAAAAUUGUUAAACUGAACUUCACAGAGUAUCAAAAUUGAAAAAAAUAACAGUUUUAUAAUCAAAUUUCUUAUACAAAAUUUCAUUUUAGAACCAUAUUUGUGAAUCAAAAUUUCACUUUUGUAAUCAUAUUGAAUUUCGAAUAAGAAUCCUAAUUUCAUUCCAUGACUAAAUUAUUUUGUGAACUAAAUUCCACCCAAUGGACCAAUCAUAUUUUUGAUUCAAAAUCAUAUUCCAUAAUGAAAUCUUCGUCUAGAAGAAUUCGAUUAAAUAAUAAGAGUUUGCAAGACAAAAUUGAUUUUACGAAUUAUUCUAUAGUACACUACAGAUUCUCAAUUCUCGGAAAUGAAGUUUCUGGUCAACAUUUUUUUUGUGUAGAAUAUGAAAAAAGUUGCUUUAAAUUUCUCAAAACUCUGAUAUUGAAAAUACAGCAAUUCAAACCAAGAUCAGUUAGAAAAUUAUGACCAUGAUACAGCAACCAGUUGAAUACUAUUAGAUUCGAACACAAUGAUAAAUCACCCAAUACUCUUUCUGGCCAUGAAGUACGGAUUCUGAUUACAAACUUGGUAACGCAAUUUCACGUUCCUCAUCCUCUUUUCUAAUUUCAAUCCUCAUCCUCAUUCCUUUCCGAAUUUCAAUCAAAAAUAGAGCACCUAGAGAUCUGCCAAUUUCUCCACAGCAUUUGACUUACCGAUCAGGAAGAGAUUUUAAUCAGCUUCUAAAUCAAAAUCUAAACAAACUAGAAAAAAUCAUAGAUGAAGAAGCUGCUAUUCCCGUCUAUAAUAAAUAAUAUCCAUCACACUAAAUUUCAACGGAGUCGCAGAUGAAUAUCAUAGUUAAUAAUUCAAACAUGAUCAAAACUAAAUUGAAUACAAUGGAAUCAGUUUCAGUAAUGAUGGAAAAUUUUCGUGAGAAAGUGUUAACAUGAGAAUUCGAUCAAGAAUACAAUCCCACCCCUUUUCCAAGUACAAAACAUAGACUAAUUUCUACUCGUCACAUCAUCUUCAAGAAAACAGUACAUCUCAUAAAAACAAAAAAAAGGUCCUCUCUUCGAAACUUACCACUGGCACAAAUAAAAAACCUUCAUAGAACAUGCAAAAAUCAUAUUCGUUAAUAGACAUUUUAUCUAGACACAAAAUUGCACUCUCAUCCGACAUACUCAUCAAAAUAUCAACGAUUUUCACCGACUUUUUCUUCCACAACGACUUCCAUUAGAAUUCAUAUUCUCUCUCAAAAAUACUAGGUCUUCAUGAAAAAUUGUCAUUUCAACUUCAAAAUCAAGCAAAGUUCAAAAUGAAAUGAGAAUACCUAUACCACUCACACAUUUUAGCAACUAUAAAAACAAGAGGAUAAUUCAAUGCGUUGAUUUACAUCAAAAAUCACAUUCAAUCUGCCCUAGAAAAUAUAUUAUGAUACCACUGAAGGUUCUGGAUGCACACAGUCUGUUGCUAUUUUUAGGACAAUCCUCGGUUUAUCUGGUGGUUAUCAGUUCUACUGUUUUCGUGAAUUUCAAACUCACAUAAUGGAUGAUGUUGUGACUGAUUGUCAGUUGAACUUAGUUGAUUGGCAGGAAGAGAGCUGUCAAGUUAGAAAUGAACAAAGACUUGACUCUCUGAAUUUUCACCCCAUCCACACUUCCUGUCCAAAAUUCGCUACAACUCAAUUUAUCAACUUUCCAGUCUCUGGUUUUAUACCAAACGUGAUUGAGUUUUGGCCAACUAGGCACUUACACUUCACAAUAACGCGCAGCCCACCUAACUCAAUUUAUUUGACAUGGAAAUAAAUUUGCAGAUUUGAAACUCUCAACUUUUACAACAGCUUCUCAACCAACAUGAAAACGCAAACCUCAGUUAGGUCGGAUAAAGGGAAACUGGUUUUAAAAUUCCAAAGUGGCAUUAAUCAAAUAAUAGACAUGUUUUAGCCGUUCAAAAAUACCUUGUUCAUGAGAUCCAACCAUCAUUUGAUUCAUGAUGAAAUAAUAUAAUUGAUGUUAAAAAAUGGAUUACAGCUUUAUGAAAAUUAAUAAAUUGAAAACAAUUGGUUUUGUAACAUCCUCUGAGUGUCAAUCAAAGUGACAUCGAUUAAUUGUUGUACAAUUCUCCGAUAACUGCAAAAUUUUAAGAAUAUUUCUAGACGUUGAAUUAUGCAGAAAAAAAUGCGAACAAAGAGUACAUAUUAUAAAAAACUCAAGGCGUUAAUGCCUUCGUAAAGAUUUAUCAUCCUUGAUAGCAAAGAGUUAAUAGAAGUGACAAUUCCCAUUGUAGACUUGAAGAGUUUAAAAAAAUUCAAAAAUUUUAAAAGAGUUUGAAAAAAAUUCAACUUGCCUCAUCUAGAAGACGUUCAAAAUAGUUCAAAUCAGCUUACGGCAUCAAAAUUAGUUUUUCAUGGAUCGAUAUAACAUUUAACCGGCUCAAUCGCUCUGAAUUCCAAAUAACUCUCCAAAUUUCAGAUCAAUGGUUCAAUAGAAUACAACCGCCUAAUUUUUUCGAAAUACGAUGAAAGUUUCUAAUUAUUUCAUAGAACAAAGCAAAUUCGAAUUGUUCAAUCAAUUUUGGCACAUUAUAUUGUAUUCUGGAAUAAGACUUCUUUCCUCAUAAUGCUCUGCUUUUUUGAAUUGCAAAUCUGUAUAUUUGAAACGUCUUCAAGAAGAAAUUUAUUCCACGUAAAUCAAAUAAGAAUAUUCAUGACUUUCAAAAGUUAAUAUUCCAUUUCUAAUUCAAAUUCUGGACCUUAAUUCAGUCGGAUAAAAGUCAAUUUGAAUAUCGAAUCUAUACCAACAUUUGAUCAGGGCUCGAAAUUACUAUUCAAAAGAGAAAAAUGAUCGAACAAUGCAGUGAGAGUAUGGCUUCCUCUUCGAGUUUCUUUUUCCAAAAUCAUUUUCAGAAUAUAAUCAUUAUCAAAUUAGACUGUCUCUCGCUCAAAUUUGAAUCAGACUAUGAAAUUCCAAUGUUUGAAUCUCCCAAUUGAUCAAGAAUCAAAUUUAACAACUUCAAAAUAGAUGGUAUCUCUUCAAAAUUCACACUCUCCUCUCACCUAUCACGAAUAAAUCCGUUCUAAUUUACUAAUCCUUUACUUAUUAUUACCUAAAAAAUUAUCUCCAAUUUUUUCUUACUAUUGAAUCUCACUCCAUUCAGAACAGCAUUCACUUGAUACUACUUUUCUUAUAUUUUUCUGUAUAUGACUCUCUAAAAUGAAAUUAUUUCAAUAUCAUAACCUCACACGUUGAUCCUGAUACCUCAACUGACAAUAGAGAACGAAUUUAUAAAUAAUUCAAUGAUAUUCGAUUCUGAGGAUGCUUGAACAAAACUGAAAACCAUUGAGACGAAUCUGUAACUUUUAAGGAAAUAUUUUCUUCGUCUGGAUCACAGGCUUAUUUCAAAUGCUCCUAUUCGAACACUAUUAAAACUUCCGAUCACAAAAUUAAUAAUUCAGAUGGAUUCAUUCUAAAAUAAUUUAUUGAGAAACUCAAAAACAUCAUACCAGUGCAAGAAAUUUUGUUCAAAUACCGUUCAUCCUGUUAUCUCAUCUGGCAAUAGAAAACAAAUUGACAAAAAUAGUCCAAUGAUAUUCGAUUCUGAGGAUGCUUCAACAGAACUGAAUACCUUUGAGAAGAAUUUGUAACUUCGUCUCAGAAAAUAUUUCUUCGUCUAAAUUACAGUCUCAUUUGAAACGCUCCUAUUCCAAAUCAAUUGGAACAUUCGAUCACAGAAUUAAAAAUACAGAUUGUUUUAUUCAUGGAUAAUUGGAGAAAUUCAAACACAUCAUACCAGUACAAGAAUAUUUGUUCAAAAAUCCACCAGAAUAGAGUAUAAUAUAAUAAAUGUUAUUCAAAUUAUCAGGGAAUCAAUCAAAAUUAUUCUUCACGAAUCAUACUGUAUCCGAAAAAUAUUACGCACAUUCUCUUAUAAGAUGUUCAAAGAUGGAGAUCAAUUUGAAUUCUGUCUUUUUUGAAUUAAUGUACAAUAUUUGCCUAACAGGUUUGAAUUCAAAAAGUUAGAUUUAUGCUAGAUGUCCUCUAAUCGACUUCAGCACGAAAAUGGAUCAAGCAUUCAAACAAAAAUUUGUAAAAAAACUCUAUCAAACCCAUCGACUAUUCAAUUCAUAACUAAAUUAUUCUUACUAGCAGAAUAAUAUUCUAUAGAAUCAACUCACUAUAUAUAUCGAUUUGGAUUAUUUUACAUAAUUCUAUCCAAAUAAAUUAACAAAUUGUCAAAUAUGUCAUAUAAUAUAUACAUUUAGGCUAUCAUCAUUCAGAAUAGUUCUGAGAGAUUUAUUUUCAAGUUCAGAUUAAGAGACCUUUCAUAUGAAUAAUUUUUGUAAUUUGCUAUGAAAAUAGAUCGUCAAAAGAUUAUAACGAUUAUACUUUAUACGAGCAUCUGCAUCCUAACCUCCAGUCACAGUUACCCUCAAUCGACUCCCUCAUAGAUAUCAAUAAAAUUACGUUUCAUUUUAGAGCUGAUGCAAUGCUCUAUAAUCCAACAAGAGAAACUCAAUUAACGCUGGGAAAAUAUUUUGGAUUUGGAUCAGAUUUUCCUCAUAAUAUCUGAGGAAGCUAUAUAUUAUCUCUGAUUAAACGAAGGAUCCGAGUCGAUUUUAUGAGAGAACUUCCAUCAUUUCAAUGACUAGGCUGUUCAAACGUCUGGCUCAACAACAGCUCUGAGCCAAAGCAAUAUAAACUUUGCAGAGUUCUAAUAUUUGUUCAAUUUUCUUAAUUCCCAAAAGCCCUCGAGAAAGCAGACUAUCAGCGAAAUCUAGCUCUCGGUCUACAAUCCAGUCAUCUGUUGUUAUUCUAGAGGAUUUCGGUUUCGAAGAGACGAGGAGUGAGAGGGGAGCUUCAGGCUUUCUAGAGAUGCUUGCUUGAGAAGACACAAUUCUUGUUAAUGUUGCUCGUUGUUAAUCUUGAGGAACUGAAGCAUGAAUACUUGAAUAGUUCGGUGAGAUGUAUCCACAAAUCUUUGAAAGUUAUCAAUAAGAUACAAUAAUCCUCACACUGAAUCCCUUGCUAUAACAAAAUGUAAGAAAAAUCAUUGAGAGCAAUCAAAUAUGAAGAAAAAAAAAAGCCAGCAAUCACGAAAAAUUAUUACGAUUCCCUUCUUUAUAGAGUACUCUCAUUCUCAUUUGUGGUUCUAAAACGAGAUACGAGUAUAAAGAAGAGAUUUAACUAGUGAAAAACCAAAAUUUAACACUAUUGAAAAAUCGCUCAACCAAAAAAUAUAGAAAAAUCAUAAAAAGAUUAAAAAAAUCAACUCUUGCACUGAAAUUGAUGAGUAGUUUCACUGAUCCAAACGAAAUUUGUUCCAAGAUGCAAGAUCGAGCAGCAAAAUUUCCUGGAUUUGUAGUUUCUUUUCGACUUAACAGUGAACGGUUCACUGUUCCAUUUUGUUCACUGUUCACAAGCCAUCUUGUAAUCUAAAUUAUCCCAAUCAAUCUAGAAUCUACAAAAAAUCAACAUAAUUUUCUCACAUGGCUCAACUUACAAUCUCACUUCCGUGAUACAUUCAAAACAAUAAAUCAUCUUCAGAAUCAGAAUCGAAAUGGACAAUGCAGAGAGAAUUUGUUACACGAUAACAAAUUUAACUGACGUCUCAGAAAAACAUUCCAAUGUGAAUUCUCAUUCGUGUAACUUCAUUGUUUUCCUAUUUCAAAUCAUAAAAUCACAAGCAAAACUGUUCUCUGCUGACAUUUUCUUUCAAAAAAAUAUGUAUAGAAUCCAGAUUUACAAUACCAAAUUAUCAACGAAUUCCCACAAUAAUCAUAUUGAAAGUAUUUUCUUCGGCAGAAUAUUAAAACCCAAAUUUUGGAGGAAUUGGAAUGAAUCCAGAUUUUUCAAAAAGGAAAACAUAGACUACGACCAAUUUGGAGGAGAAAAUUCACAUUUACUCCACUUUUAUGAGAAAUGAAUGAGUAUGGAAGUCUUAGAGAACCCUGGAAUAAUCUUAGCCCUGUCUUAGCCCUGGAAUAAUCCAUAAACAAAAAAUGUUUUACACAAAAUCCAUACUUUUCAAACUCAACCUUUUUGGGAUUAUCUUGAUAAAAGUUGAUAAAAAUAAGUUCAUAUUAUUCACCCAUAAGUUUUUCAAGAAUAUUAUUUGAAAUAGAAUCUGUCUAAUAAAGGAUCUAAGCCUAUAAUAUAAAAAACAUCUACAAUCUCUGAGCAUCUAUCACGAAUAGUAUUAGCGUCUCUUCUUAUGUCAUUAUAUAUUUUUAGGUACAUGUCGCGUAAUUUUUAUUGUCCUUUACAUCUCAACACUGAUUGAUAAUUAUUACAUUAUACAUUAUUUUCUUCUCACCCUCACAACAUAUAAAGCCGAUUGAUAAGUCAAUCAGAUUACUCAUAUUGAAUGAGCAUAGUUGUUAUUUUUGUCCGUUAAAGUAUAAUUAGUACUCUAGUAUAAGUAUUUGUUAUGGAAACUCGAAAUGUUGUUGAAACUUGUUAUUAAAUUGAAAAAAAAUUGUUCAAACUGUUGGUUAACUUUCCAUUGCUAAGAUUUGCAAGGUGAAUGUGAAAAAAAUGUUUUUUUUUUUCGAAGAUCCAAAAAAUUGAUAGUUUUAAGAGCGGAAAGCUACCUCCUCAAUCUUAUGUGUAGUGGGUGAGAAGAAAAAUCAUAUGAAAAGAGGAUAAAGUCAUGAUAUUCUAACUAAACUCAUGUUGGAAUAUAAUUCAUCUUCUUUUUUCUUUUGUUUUACUUUGUUACUAGUUACAAUUACUUCAAGAAUUGUUCGAAAUAUUGUUAUAAAUCGACAAGUUAUAAGUAGAGUGAUUAUAAGCCAAUGUUUUUACAAUAAUUAUCAUAAUUAUUACGGAUGUAAAUAUGUAUUCGAAACGAUUGUACUGUAUAUUGUGAUUAUCACCAAAAUUCUAUCUAUGGAAUUAUUAGUUUUAGAAUAUUCAAUUGAUAAUAAAAAUAGUCUGACUUAUUAAUUUCACGGGUAUAACUGACAUUAAAGAUUUGAUAAUGGUUAUGAACUAAUAUGGCCAGUAAUAGUUUCACUUCACAAACGUACACAAUCAAUCUAGGAUACAGUGGAGGACCCAUUUUCUAGCAAGGUUUCUGGGCAACAGGCAACGGAAGAUAACGAGUAGUUGGAAAUAACGCUACGGAAUCGUCAUUUCCCGUUCUCUGCUUCCCAGAAAUGUUGCUAAGAAGUCGUCCUCAGAAAAUUUCAAUCCUGAUUAAGUGAACUACCUAUAUUCCUUGAGAACUUUAUCAAUUUCAAACAGCUGGUUCGGAAGUGGUUCAUUCCCAUAGUUAAUUUAUCAAAAUUAUACCGACUGGAUAUCACGAUAAAAAUAUGGGAAUAUGAAAUUGGGGAAAUGAUCAUGCAAGAUGUUCAGAACCUCAAUUUCUGUUAAAAGUUCAUCACAAGGAGUCAGUCUUGAAAAAAUCAAUAUAUUUGCUUCUAAAGAAUACUUCAACAAAAUCACAUACUGUGUGUCAGUAACUGCACUACUUUUCCAGCCAUAUUUACUGUUUUUGAUCAUUAUUUUUGAACUCAACUAAUAUUCGGAAUCUGUCUGGAACAAGUAUUGGUUUCACUCAGGAAAAUCUUUUGCAUGUAUUCUGAAAUAAGAAAAUUCACGAAUUCAUCUCCAGAUAACAAUAACAAUAGAUCAUACUGGUUCACAGUGUAUGAUUUUGUUGAAAGUAUAACCUGUCCUAGAUUCACUGUGCAAAUAUUUUAAGAUAAUUCAUAGUUCAAAUUCAUUGUAUUGACAUCAUCAAAUGCUCAAAAAGUCUUUCAUAGUCAUUUAUCAGAGUGUAUGUACCACUGUUUUGUUAUCACGUAAAUAUGAGACUGAAAUUGUUAUGAAGCUUUAAAUUUAAAUGAUAUUAAUAGUUUUUUGGAUUAAGUGUCUUAAAAUUCGAAAUUCUGACACAUUCUUGAUUCUCGUUAAUUUUUUUUCUUUUGAAAAUGUUUCUUUUUAAUUGUUACAAGUAUCAUUAUGAUGAUGUGAUUGUUCAUUAUUGACAAUGUUGAGAUUAGAUUAAGAACAAUAAAAAACAUGACCUGGUGGAAUGUUUGGGUCACUCGGCGAGUAAAUUCAUACUUUUGGCAAGACAAAAUUCAAAAUUUCUUUCAAAAUUUCCGUUGGUACUAAAUUUUUUGUAAAACGCAUUUGGCUAAGCGUUGUAAAUAGAUCAGUUUUGGCUGUAUGAUCACAAUUUUUUGGUAAUAUAAUUUGGCUAACCAAUUUAUCAUCCAUUUGGCUAUCACAAUUUUUGGUAUUAAAAUAUUCAAAAUUCGAA
Nilaparvata lugens (brown planthopper) is the source of this 17404-nucleotide long non-coding RNA. RefSeq lists it as uncharacterized. The record is from RefSeq and is a predicted model, not a curated record. The transcript has 3 exons. NCBI's taxonomy places the organism in Eukaryota, Metazoa, Arthropoda, Insecta, Hemiptera, Delphacidae.